GAUGAACGCUAGCUACAGGCUUAACACAUGCAAGUCGAGGGGAAACGGCAUUAAGUGCUUGCACUUUUUGGACGUCGACCGGCGCACGGGUGAGUAACGCGUAUCCAACCUUCCCAUGACUAAGGGAUAACCUGCCGAAAGGCAGACUAAUACCUUAUGGUCUUCACUGACGGCAUCAGAUGUGAAGUAAAGAUUUAUCGGUUAUGGAUGGGGAUGCGUCUGAUUAGCUUGUUGGCGGGGUAACGGCCCACCAAGGCAACGAUCAGUAGGGGUUCUGAGAGGAAGGUCCCCCACAUUGGAGCCGAGACACGGACCAAACCCCUACGGGAGGCAGCAGUGAGUAAUACAGUGGGAGGGGCGCGAGCCUGAACCAGCCGAGUAGCGUGCAGGAUGCCGGCCAUAUGGGUUGUAAACUGCUUUUGUAUGGGGAUAAAGUCAAUCACGUGUGAUUGUUUGCAGGUACCAUACGAAUAAGGACCGGCUAACUCCGUG
Molecule: ribosomal RNA, 492 nt
Filed under: uncultured bacterium
Lineage: Bacteria
Description: partial 16S ribosomal RNA
Rfam family: Bacterial small subunit ribosomal RNA
Source: RNAcentral